UGUGGCAGGAUUGAUCCAUGCAAUUCAGUCCAUCCAUCCACACUGUUCCUGCAUCUCUGGCUUCAGCCAUCACCACACUAGAUGAUCUGGAUUGAGUUCUGAUGAGAUAAGCUGCUAAAGCUGAUUUUAGAUCAGCAUCAUCACACAAACUGAUCAGUGAGACUCCCACAGCAGAGACAACCAAACUGAAGCUUUUUCUCCUGAGAAGUCACUGGAAUGACCGAUAUGAAGACUUGGAUGGUUGAAAGUCACACAUUCUCUUCCCGUUAAUGACUUUGAGCCUCGAGGCCUCAGACAGGAGCCUGCAGACCUUCGGAUUGAUCCCCUCCCGUCUCCUUCAGAACAUUUCAACUGUUGUGCUCAGAAGAGAAGCUGUGCCGUAUGUGAGAGACACCCAGCAGAGAACAGAAGAACAGCUAGAGCACCUCUUAAAAAGUCACACUUUCAUGUUCUCUUUGAGAGACUUUAAAAGGACAUACCUGACAAACAUUUGCUAUUUUAAUGUUGCUGUAGGGUUAGAGUUCUUACAUCUCUUCGGCGUCUCUCUGGCAGCAGAGGACAGAGGAGAAGAUCAAGACGCCUUUGAUGUGUUGCCCACUGCAGGCGAUACCGGGAUAUGGAAUAUGAUUUCUGAAAAAUGUAACAUCUAGAUUAAAAAGUAACAUCUGGUUGAAAUUCACAACAGGGAGUGGUAUGAUUUAUGAGCUGAAUUAUUUUGAAGUGAAGUAAAUAGAUUGUUCAUUAUAUUAUUUUCUUAAGCAAACUAAGCUUUCUUUGACACUUUGAUACAUUUGCUUGGUUUUGUGUAUCAGGGAUAAAAAAAAAAAUCAAAAAGAAUUUCACAGUUUAGGUUUCCAUUCCUCUUUAAAAUUCUGGUUCCUUAAAGGUUCCAAUAAUUAUUAUUUUUAGGGCUUUAAUAGUGAAAUAUUUGGGAAAAGUCUAACUUCUAGCUGUAUGUUUUUACAGAGUAUAAAGAACCAGCUCAAAAGUGUGAUUUGUUCAAAAGUCAAAUGUUUUUUUAAUUCACUAAAAAGAAUGUCCGGGAGUCGAACUACUGGAUCCUUUGUUUGAUUCACUACAAAGAACCAUCUCAAGACAGUCAUUCAAUCUGGAGUCAGGCUGCCCUGUGUUUUUGUUUCACUAAAAAGAAUCGUCUCAAAAGAGGGAUUCAUUCAGGAGUCAAACUACUGUUUGCGCUGUGUGUUUUUGAUUUGCUAAAAACAACAUCUAACUACUGGGGUGCCUCAGGGCUCAGUUCUUGAACCAUUUCUCUUCUCUUGCAUCACUAGGUUCUGUCAUUCAGAAACAUGGCUUUUCAUACCAUUGCUGUGCUGAUGACACUCAACUCUACCUCUCAUUCCAUCCUGAUGAUCCGACGGUAGCUGCUCGCAUCUCAGCUUGUCUAACAGACAUUUCUUGCUGGAUGAAGGACCAUCACCUUCAACUCAACCUUGCCAAUACAGAACUGCUUGUGGUUCCAGCAAACCCAUCGUUUCAUCACAAUUUCACCAUCAAGUUAGACACAUCAACCAUAACUCCUUCAAAAACAGACAGAAACCUUGGAGUUAUAAUUGAUGAUCAGCUAACUUUCUCCGAACACAUUGCUAAAAUUACCAUAAAACCCUGGGGUAAUAUGAACACCAGUGUGAAGGGAUGUGCUAAUGAUGUGAGUGAGUGCAGGUGCAACUGUAGGAGAAAUGGCUUAAAUGAGAUGGGAUUGAAUAGGAUCAAGCGGACAAGUAAUAGGAUGAUUAGAAAGGAUGUAUUUGGAGACUUCUGCCUCAGAGAGUGAAGAGAAGGAUGUAAAAGGGUAUAUGUUUGCUGGUUAGAUGUACUUGACAGAUUGUUACGUGGAAAAUUGUGCACUGAUGGUUUUAAUUUUAUUAAUGAAGAACAUGGCAAAGUUGUCAGCUGUUAGAGUUGAUGAAGGAGGGGGAAGAGUAGGACAAAGGAUCUAGGUAAUUAAAAAAGUAAUUAAUCCUUAUUCUAAAGGAUUUAUAAUAAGGUCUUGGAGAAUAAGACAUUAAUAUGUUUUUUUUUUUUUUUUUUUUAAGUAAUAAUAAACAACCGAUAUCCCAGUAAUAUUCAUGCUAAUAACCAACUAGUUAUUUUAAGAAUUGGACGCUAAAGUGUUUCCAAUAUUCUUAUUAACUCACCAAAGUAUUUAAAGUGAGAAGAGUAUAUAAAAAGCAUGUAUUUUAAGGUUAGACUUUUUUUUUAUGUUAAAUCCAGUAUUGUAUUGUAUGUUCUACAGUUUAUACACAGUAUUAAGUCCAAUUACAUAAGAAAUAACUGUAAUUAAGUUACAGAAAAAAAUAAGAGUAAUCCCUUACUUUACCUUUUCAAGGGAAAUGUAAUUAAAUUGCAGUAACUAAUUACUUAGUAACUAAUUACACCCAAAACUGUUGUUCAAAUUAAUCUCAGAACUCAAUGUCCCGGGGCUGUGUGUAAAAUCACAGAAGGAAACUCACAAUUGAGGAAUACUAUAAAUUGAAUUUAUAUUUCUAAAGAAUUUAAUGAGGUGUGCUUAAUUUGCAUAUAACAAUGAUCUCAAUGUUUGUUUGUUUGUUUUUUUGUUUGUUUGUUUUUUAAAGUGUUAAAAAUCUUUCCGUAUCCUCGGAAAAAUUUCCUCCUCUCAUAUUCCUGGUUACACAGUAGCGCAGGGAUCUCCAGCCCUGCUCCUGGAUAGCUACCAUCCUGUAGACUUCAGUUGCAACCCUGCUCCAACACACCUAUCUGUUAUUAUAGUAGCCCUGAACACCUUGAUUACCUUGAUUAGCUGGUUCAGGUGUGUUUGACUGGGGUUGGAGCUGAAAUCUGCAGGACAGUAGCUCUCCAGGAGCAGGGUUGGAGACCCCUGCAGAAACGCGUGUCUGUAGUGCCACCUGCUGGCUGAACCUACACUCUGCGUCUGUUUACCUGACAAAUUUGGCCUAAACUUGCUUCCUUUCGUUCUUCUCAUCUUCUGUUCGAGCCAUCAUAAUCACAGUUCACGAUCACAGAUAAGACCUUAUGAACUCAAAAUGUUUAUCUUUGCUAAACUGUAGAACUGACAACCUGAAUUCAAAAUGAUCACACAAAUGGUUGAUCCUAGCAUGACAUUUAUUCUAGAUGUGCAAGAUUAUAGAUACUGUCCUAUCUUAGCUUUAAUUUACUGUAACAUAUGACCAUAUAAAAAUCUGAUUGAUCUGGACAUUUCAGCCUGUGUGUACAAAACACUAAGAGGAUAAAAUGCCUUUUGAAAUCCUUAUGUCAGUAUCGAUUGCUUUUAGGAACUGCAGUUCCGUCCUGAUGAUCAAAAAUUCUCUCAUAUACCAUCUCUCACCUAUCAGUCUCUACUCCCCCCCCCGGUCUUCUCUUCCUCUGAACCAUCUGGCACCUCUCAUUUCUUCAUGCCUGACCAGUCUGUCACCUUCUCAUAUGAAAAGAAGGUUUCCUAAUGCAUCUGAAUAAUGGGAUGUAUAUAUGAGGAAUUUUAACUUAUGGAUGAAACGUUAAAGCUUAUGAAUCAAGAGCAAUGUUUAAAGCAAGACCAGGGGUAGGCUGAGAGGCAGAACACCAACACUGAGGCAUACCUUGAGUUUGUUUUCACAGUCCAGUGCCACUGUGAUGAACAGAACUUAAUUAAAGUACACAUCAGCUUUGGAAUUGUGUCAAAGCUCUUGGGGUCCUCUCAUCUACUUUUUUUUUCCUGAAGUGGACCAGGGCUUGAAAAAAUGUGCAUGUAAAAUAAUGUAUUUAUUAUUUACUAAAAUGUAUUUAUUAUUUUAAAUACUUUAUUUAUAAUUUAUGUAAUUAUUAUUAAAUAUUAAUUUAUUUUAAUUAUAGUAAUUCAGUUUUAAUUAAUAAAUAAAGACUUUUAUUCAGCCACGAUGCAUGAAAUUAAUCAAAAGUGACAGAAAAGACGUUUAUAAUUGUACAAAAUACUUAUAUUUUUAAAAAGCUUUCUUUUCAUCAAAGAAUUAAAGGAGUAAUGACUGUUGAAAAUUCAGCUUUGCAAUUACAGGAAUAAAUUACAUUUUUAAAUAUAAUAAAAUAGAGCAGUUAUUUUUACAUUAAAUAUUUUUAAUGCCUUUACUAUAUUUUUGCUUAAAAAAUAGCCUUGACAAGCUAAGUGAUUUCUUAAAAAAUACAUAAAAACAUUUUUAAAAAAAAUGUACUAACGCCAAACUUUUGAACAGUAGUGUAUGGUUUAAUCUACUUCCCCACAAACUUGCUUAACUAAUAUUAAAUGUUAUAAAUUUCAUAAACUCAUGUUUACUUAAUAGUUGGCAUUUUCUUGUACACUUGAAUCAGACAUUGUGUAGUUGGGCCUGAGGGGGUAAUAAGACUCUUUAUGCAGAAGAGCUCAGUGCACUUGCUGGAAUAAAUGAAUUUAUCAUUUUUAAAUAAAUCAAGUAAAAUUGCAACUCUGUGAAUGUAUUAACAGGAAUGAGGUCUCAUCUGACUCUUUUUUUUUUUUUUUCAUUACGAUUUCACUGACUGGUUAAGUGAUGAAUUAUGGAUCAAUGGUGUCAGUCCCAUUCUGUAAAUGCUUCACAAGGCAAAUGUGUUUAAAAUUUCAGAUGGAAAAUCACUAAUGGAAAAGAUGUAUAAAGGAGAGAAAACUGUGUAAUAUUUUGACUUUGUAGUUCACAUUUAUUUAUUUAUUUUAUUUUACUUCAUAUGAACCAGUUAAUUGUGUAUUAUUUUUUGUCCUUUACAAGCGGAGAGAAUCUUUAGGAGGUGGAGUAGCUGUUGUUUGCACCCAUAUUUUGUGUUAAUUGCAUUUCCAUUUUGAUUUAAUUUGUUAAAAUAAUAUAUAGUAUAGAAAUGCGUGAUUUGUAAUGUAACACCUCUCAGAUCGCAAUACAAAAAGCUCACCAUCUGACCUGUCCAUCUCCUUAUCCAGCAAUUCAGAGCAAAUUGAUAUGUUUUGUUACAUUAUUGACCUUGAAUUUGGUUUGUAAGAUAAAUGACUUUAUCAUUAGAGAAUAUUAUGUUAAAAUUACAAUGAUAUCUGUUUAUCUGGUCAGAUAACCUUGAAGUCAUUGACCCAUCUUGCUGCUUUUAAUAUUUAAAAAAAAAAAAAAACAGAGAGCUAAAUGACAGACUUUCAUAAGCCCCCGGGCAGAGGUCAGCAGAGGUCAGGUGGUCAUGAAAUGUCUUGUUUCAACACCAUCGUGCGAUGCACGUCCUGAAUAAAAAUGGUUCAGUGUUCAGGUUUUUUUGAGAGCAGCUCUGGCUGAUCUCAGUGGAAGCACGGUCAUGCUGACUCACAGAGACACUGAGCAGUCUGCCAAAACAAGUACGACAAAGGCCAGAGAAAACAUAACAUUAAAGAGCUAUAGUUCUAAUGCAGAGGGAGGCUGGACCGGUUAUUUGCUCAGUGAUAUCUUCAAAGAUGUGACUUUAACAAAAAAAAAAAAAAAAAAGUUUCAUCUAAAAAAUGUAAACAUAUGAAUUAAUUAUUUUGGUUUACUGAUGUUUUAAACUUAAAAGUUGCAUGAAGUCUUUUUGUGUAUGUUAUGACUAGUUUUUGAUUAAUUCAAUAAAAUUCAAUCAAUAAUUAAAGGAAAAGUGUCUAAUAAUUGAGGGUUGCAGAGAUAUG
This is a long non-coding RNA of Cyprinus carpio carpio, 5590 nucleotides long. The record is from Ensembl. NCBI's taxonomy places the organism in Eukaryota, Metazoa, Chordata, Actinopteri, Cypriniformes, Cyprinidae.